GCGCUCCCCGCCUCCCCGCAAAUAGUGAAUUUGUUGUUUUGUUGGUGUUUUUUGCGUUUGUUUGUUUAUUUAUUUGUGUUUUCUCUAACGCUCGCACCAUUCCACGGCUGCUCUGCUGCAACCGAAAUGGCUCUGGAAAGAUGACCGGGGCUGGUGGGGCCAGGGCUGCCGCCUCCGACCCUGGCACGGGCUGUCUCGAGCUAGAUGGAAAAAAAAAAAAAAAAAAAGAAAAAAAAAACCAAACCAAUAAACCAACAAAAUUAAGUUUUCUUUUCCAGGCCACCUGGACACCACUGAGCUCCCCCAAGCCUGGAGAAGCAGUCCCUUGGAGAAUACCCAGUUUCCCUGUGGACACAUGGCACAGGUCUCAUGUGGAAUGCCUGAGACUGCUGAACAAAUGUCAGACAAGACUGAUCCAAGGGAAGAAGGAAACAGACUCUGUGAAACAGAAGCACUGAAAUCAAGACUGUGUCCUCAUAUGUUCCUGUCUAGGAAGUUCUUCUGAGCUUUCACAGCUGCUGAGAAAAAAUGUCUUGGAAAGUCACAUCCUCUACUUGAAAUUCCCCCUCUUAAAAAACCUUCUGCCCAUUUGAUUUCGUAAUAUCCCAUUCAGAUUUUAAAUGGUCAUGACGAAGAACAUUCUUCAGCUUAACUUUAUCUGGAACUCAUCAUCAUUUCAUCAAUGGAUUGAAACAAUUUUUAGUGACUGGAGAGUCAACAAGCCAAAUUUAUAUCUGAGGCUGAAUACAAACCAGGGUUUUAAAUGUUUUUAAUAGAAUGAUGAUUCUUCCCUGGCUACAAGAAGAAGAAAUGGCAAACUGCUUUGAAGCAGAUAUGCUCUUGCAAGAUUUUCAAGCCCUCUGUGCAUCUAAAACACUUCUACCCAUACCUAACACACAGAAGCCAGCUUGUUCCUGACCAUGGAAAGGUAGUCAAGGAGGCAAUAUAAAAAUAAACCAGCAGUCCUUCACCUCACCUCCACCUUGCAUCCAAAAAAAAAAAAAAAAAAAAAAA
Long non-coding RNA from Pyrgilauda ruficollis (rufous-necked snowfinch), 1014 nucleotides. RefSeq lists it as uncharacterized. The transcript is spliced from 4 exons. The record is from RefSeq and is a predicted model, not a curated record. Lineage: Eukaryota; Metazoa; Chordata; Aves; Passeriformes; Passeridae.